RNAcentral lists this ribosomal RNA (253 nucleotides) under uncultured bacterium. RNAcentral's name for it is "partial 16S ribosomal RNA". It matches the Rfam family "Bacterial small subunit ribosomal RNA", at positions 524 to 776 of the family's 1533-position model. The record is from RNAcentral.
UACGUAGGGGGCGAGCGUUGUCCGGAUUUAUUGGGCGUAAAGAGCGCGUAGGCGGCCCGGUAAGUCCACUGUGAAAGUCAAAGGCUCAACCUUUGAAUGUCAGCGGAUACUGCCGGGCUAGAGUCCGGAAGAGGCGAGUGGAACUCCUGGUGUAGCGGUGGAAUGCGCAGAUAUCAGGAAGAACACCAACGGCGAAGGCAGCUCGCUGGGACGGAACUGACGCUGAGGCGCGAAAGCGUGGGGAGCGAACAGG